This 1306-nucleotide ribosomal RNA is filed under the name uncultured bacterium. RNAcentral's name for it is "bacterial SSU rRNA". It matches the Rfam family "Bacterial small subunit ribosomal RNA", at positions 28 to 1381 of the family's 1533-position model. The record is from RNAcentral.
AACGUACGCUGGCGGCACGCCUAACACAUGCAAGUCGAACGAAGUAGCAAUACUUAGUGGCAGACGGGUGAGUAACAUGUAGGUAUCUGCCCUUUGGCCUGGAAUAACACGAGGAAACUUGUGCUAAUACCGGAUAAGUCUUUACGGAGAAAGCUUUAUGCACCAUUGGAUGAGCCUGCACUUGAUUAGUUUGUUGGUGGGGUAAUGGCCUACCAAGACUGUGAUCAAUAGCUGAUUUGAGAGGAUGAUCAGCCACAUUGGGACUGAGACACGGCCCAAACUCCUACGGGAGGCAGCAGUGGGGAAUCUUGCACAAUGGAGGAAACUCUGAUGCAGCGAUGCCGCGUGAGUGAAGAAGGCCCUUGGGUUGUAAAGCUCUUUCGUCGGGGAAGAAAAUGACUGUACCCGAAUAAGAAGGUCCGGCUAACUUCGUGCCAGCAGCCGCGGUAAUACGAAGGGACCUAGCGUAGUUCGGAAUUACUGGGCUUAAAGAGUUCGUAGGUGGUUGAGAAAGUUAGUGGUGAAAUCCCAGAGCUUAACUCUGGAACUGCCAUUAAAACUUUUCAGCUAGAGUAUGAUAGAGGAAAGCAGAAUUUCUAGUGUAGAGGUGAAAUUCGUAGAUAUUAGAAAGAAUACCAAUUGCGAAGGCAGCUUUCUGGAUCAUUACUGACACUGAGGAACGAAAGCAUGGGUAGCGAAGAGGAUUAGAUACCCUCGUAGUCCAUGCCGUAAACGAUGUGUGUUAGACGUUGGAAAUUUAUUUUCAGUGUCGCAGGGAAACCGAUAAACACACCGCCUGGGGAGUACGACCGCAAGGUUAAAACUCAAAUGAAUUGACGGGGACCCGCACAAGUAGUGGAGCAUGUGGUUUAAUUCGAAGAUACGCGCAGAACCUUACCAACACUUGACAUGUUCGUCGCGACUCUAAGAGAUUAGAGUUUUCGGUUCGGCCGGACGAAACACAGGUGCUGCAUGGCUGUCGUCAGCUCGUGUCGUGAGAUGUUGGGUUAAGUCCCGCAACGAGCGCAACCCUCACUUUUAGUUGCCAUCAUUAAGUUGGGCACUCUGAAAGAACUGCCAGUGAUAAGCUGGAGGAAGGUGGGGAUGACGUCAAGUCCUCAUGGCCCUUACGUGUUGGGCUACACACGUGCUACAAUGGUAUCUACAACAGGAAGCAAGACUGCGAAGUUAAGCAAAUCCCUAAAAGAUACCUCAGUUCGGAUUGCACUCUGCAACUCGAGUGCAUGAAGCUGGAAUUACUAGUAAUCGUGGAUCAGCGUGCCACGGUGAAUGCGUUCCCGGGUCU